GAUCUGGAGGCCUAGUGGUUAGAGCUUCCGCCUCGAAUGCGGAAGAUUAUUGGUUCGAUCCCCGGUCGAGUCG
Molecule: non-coding RNA, 73 nt
Organism: Potamilus streckersoni
Lineage: Eukaryota; Metazoa; Mollusca; Bivalvia; Unionida; Unionidae
Source: the annotation of a GenBank genome assembly